AGCAAUAGAAUUGGCAGGUAAUGUUAUUUACGAGGACCAAGAAAUGAUUUUCUCGUUUUGUGAUUUUAAUUGAUAUGUGACCUAUAUGUUUUGUGAGAAAUUAUUUGAAAUUGAUGAACUAUGAACAAUGUUUCUUCGAAUCCUUCGAUUCUCUUUGCAUCUUUCUCGUACUCUAUCAAUAUAAGCUUAAAGGUUUAUAGCAUCUGAAAUAAGGGUGGUGUACGAGCAUUUUCUAAAUGUUUGGUCCCCAUUGCAAUCUUUAUGGGCUCGAGAAGCUUGACUGCUGAACCCAUUAGUAAAGAGAAAUAAAUGGGAUAUACAAGACAGCUGACUCCUUUACUGCAUUCCAGUAACGAGGGCUGUCCUGAUGCUAUUCCAAAUAGUCCCAUGAACGAUAACUUUGAGAGAGAGAGAAAAUAAAGUGAAGAAAAUGGAGAACUUCCUCAUUUCUAAAGCUGUGACUACUGUUUUCUCGCACAUGGACUCCAGACAUUGAUAUGUAAGUAAAAGUUUGAAAGAGUGGGAAUAUUUGUACAAUAAAUCAGCAAAACGGUACACCUUUUGAUUCUAGGAUAUGAGUUUUUGGAUCAAUUUUUAAGCUUUAGGCUGGUUGAAACCCUUGAGCUCUUCUAUUUUAGCCAAAGAUGAUGUAUUUGCAAAUUAUACUUCUUCCGGGACACGAUAUUCAGUGAAAGUUUAUCUCUUGUUGAUUUGGUAUAUAGCUCCAACAUUUGAUGUGCACGCAGAUGUUUCCAUCUUCAUUCAAUUUCUUGAUCCUUCUCGACUUGUUGUUUUCCUGAAGUGCUUAUCUUAUAUUUGUCUACUGUUACGUUCUUUAAGAGAUGAGGAUUUCUUCGAGCAAACAAACUAAUUAUGUGAUGCACUGAUACUGAAUUUAUGCUUGGGUUGUACGUUGGGACUAAUUAUUGAAUUUAAUUGCUUUUGAGUUUAGUACUUGAUGUGUUCUUGGUUUUGUGAUUUUUGAAAGUUUUGGAUAAUAGGGAUAAAAUUUUGGCAGAUAAUUAAUAUAAGAUCACCAUGUUGUAUGUGAAACUUUUUGAGGUUUGCUCGCUAUGGUGACCAGAUGGUUUUUGGUAUUAAUGUUCUUUGGAAUACAUGAACAUGGUCUGUCAGUCUCAACCUAUGAGCUGCGAUGGUAAAGUGGGUGAAUAAUGGGCUGAGAGGCACUACUGCGCUAUUUUAUAUGUGUUUGAAAACAAAUAAACCAGCGAACGGGAUUAUACUUUUGCUUUAAAGUCUCUCACUAUGAUAUUGGAUCUAUGAUGCAGAACAGUUAAAGGAAUACUGUUAUAAAGCCUUUGACGAGGGAUUUUGUGUUGGCAUUGAUGUGGGCUAAGUAGACAAUGAGUUUGUCUAUGGGUUAUAGAGACCUUGGGGAUGAUUUGCCCGAGAAAGGAUGCAAUAUAUGGUCCUUUU
RNAcentral lists this long non-coding RNA (1437 nucleotides) under Olea europaea (common olive). RNAcentral describes it as "long non-coding RNA (OEUR_LNC012194)". Lineage: Eukaryota; Viridiplantae; Streptophyta; Magnoliopsida; Lamiales; Oleaceae. The record is from RNAcentral.